CCGAGGAUCUUGGGCAAUGCCCGAAAGGGUGACCCAGUGACGCCGCGUGGGGGAAGAAGCCCUUCGGGGUGUAAACCCCUGUUGGCGGGGGAAGAAGCCAACCCUUCGGGGUUGGUUGACGGUACCCCGCGAGAAAGCCCCGGCUAACUCCGUGCCAGCAGCCGCGGUAAAACGGAGGGGGCGAGCGUUGCCCGGAUUUACUGGGCUUAAAGGGUCCGUAGGCGGUGUCCCAAGUCCCUCGUGAAAGCUGCCCGCUCAACGGGCAGAGGUCGGGGGAGACUGGGACACUUGAGGGCGGGAGAGGCCAGCGGAACGGCGGGU
RNAcentral lists this ribosomal RNA (321 nucleotides) under uncultured Fervidibacterota bacterium. Its description in RNAcentral is "bacterial SSU rRNA". It matches the Rfam family "Bacterial small subunit ribosomal RNA", at positions 355 to 674 of the family's 1533-position model. The record is from RNAcentral. Lineage: Bacteria; Candidatus Fervidibacterota.